This 497-nucleotide ribosomal RNA is filed under the name uncultured bacterium. RNAcentral describes it as "partial 16S ribosomal RNA". It matches the Rfam family "Bacterial small subunit ribosomal RNA", at positions 28 to 507 of the family's 1533-position model. The record is from RNAcentral.
GAUGAACGCUGGCGGCGUGCCUAAUACAUGCAAGUCGAGCGGACAGACGCGGAGCUUGCUCCUCGGACGUUAGCGGCGGACGGGUGAGUAACACGAGGAUAACCUACUUAUAAGUCUGGGAUAACUUCGGGAAACCGGUGCGGAUAACAGAGAAUAUAUUGAACCGCAUGGUUCAAUGGUGUAAGACGGUUUUGCUGUCACUUAGAGAUGGAUCCGCGCCGCAUUAGCUAGUUGGUAAGGUAACGGCUUACCAAGGCAACGAUGCGUAGCCGACCUGAGAGGGUGAUCGGCCACACUGGAACUGAGACACGGUCCAGACUCCUACGGGGGGCAGCAGUAGGGAAUCUUCCGCAAUGGGCGAAAGCUUGACGGAGCAACGCCGCGUGAGUGAUGAAGGUCUUCGGAUCGUAAAACUCUGUUAUUAGGGAAGAACAAAUGUGUAAGUAACUAUGCACGUCUUGACGGUACCUAGUCAGAAAGCCACGGCUAACUACGUG